AUCGAACGCUGGCGGCAGGCCUAACACAUGCAAGUCGAGCGAGCGGCGGACGGGUGAGUAAUGUCUGGGAAACUGCCUGAUGGAGGGGGAUAACUACUGGAAACGGUAGCUAAUACCGCAUACCAUCAGUUGUGGCCAGACGGGUUUAGCUAGUUGGUGGGGUAAUGGCCCACCAAGGUGACGAUCUCUAGCUGGUUUGAGAGGAUGAUCGGGCACCCUGGGACUGAGACCCGGGCCCGACUCCUACGGGAUGCAGGAGUGGGGAAUUUUUGACAAUUGGCGAAAGCCUGAUCCAGCAAUACCGGGUGUGUGGAGAAGGCCCUAGGGUUGUAAAGCACUUUUGUUAGGGAGAUGUUACCUAACGAAUAAGCACCGGCUAACUCCGUGCCAGCAGCCGCGGUAAUUC
RNAcentral lists this ribosomal RNA (406 nucleotides) under uncultured bacterium. Its description in RNAcentral is "partial 16S ribosomal RNA". It matches the Rfam family "Bacterial small subunit ribosomal RNA", at positions 30 to 526 of the family's 1533-position model. The record is from RNAcentral.